This 440-nucleotide ribosomal RNA is filed under the name uncultured bacterium. Its description in RNAcentral is "partial 16S ribosomal RNA". It matches the Rfam family "Bacterial small subunit ribosomal RNA", at positions 338 to 795 of the family's 1533-position model. The record is from RNAcentral.
CCUACGGGGGGCAGCAGUGGGGAAUAUUGCACAAUGGGGGAAACCCUGAUGCAGCGACGCCGCGUGAGUGAAGAAGUAUUUCGGUAUGUAAAGCUCUAUCAGCAGGGAAGAAAAUGACGGUACCUGAUUAAGAAGCCCCGGCUAACUACGUGCCAGCAGCCGCGGUAAUACGUAGGGGGCAAGCGUUAUCCGGAUUUAAUGGGGGUAAAGGGAGCGUAGACGGCAGCACAAGUCUGGAGUGAAAUGCCGGGGCUUAACCCCGGGACUGCUGUUGAAACUGUGCGGCUAGAGUGCAGGAGAGGUAUGCGGAAUGCGCGGUGUAGCGGUGAAAUGCAUAGAUAUUGCGCAGAACUCCGGUGGCGAAGGCAGCUUGCUGGACUCACACUGACGUUGAGGCACGAAAGCGUGGGUAGCGAACAGGAUUAGAUACCCGAGUAGUC